RNAcentral lists this long non-coding RNA (707 nucleotides) under Pan troglodytes (chimpanzee). RNAcentral's name for it is "lincRNA". Lineage: Eukaryota; Metazoa; Chordata; Mammalia; Primates; Hominidae. The record is from RNAcentral.
AUGGAGAGUGCGUGCUUUGGAUUCAAGACUGGGAAUGAGGGGACCAGAAACCUAUUCUGUGGCUGUUUCUUGUUAGGACUUUCCUAAGCCUCUGGAAAAGUGCAAAGUACAAUUAACAUUUGAGUCUGUCUGAGUCAUGAAGAAAUGGAGAUUACUGAAAAUAAUUCAUUUUGGUAUCUUCUUACAUCCUGAGAGACUAAUCUUUCCAAGUUCAUCUGAGGCUCCUCUUCUCCAUGACAACCUCAUCCAGGGAUUUCUUCCUGUCCUGGUGUUUUAUGACAUAAUCACAUCCUUCCUGAGAUAAUGAGCACACAAUUGCCUGGAUACCUGAAGGAAUGGAGACAGCCGCAGAAAACACUGCAGAGAGGUGGAAACAUCCGUUAAUAUUUUAAAAUCCCAUUACUGCUACCAACAAUAAUAAUGGAUGCAUAGAAAUAGAUCUGGAUUAGCUGAGCUUGAAACAGUCCAUCUCACACACACGCAAAAGAAUUUCAGAUACAGUGAACCCACACGUUGAAGCUUUCUAGUAUAAUAAAAAUUUCAACUGUUCUGUUGAAUCAUCUGCCUGAUUGGAGGCUACAGAAAAGAUGUCAUCUUAGGAGUGCUUGCUCUGAGUGAGGCUCAUCUUCAAAUCUGAAUGACCACAAGGAGAUUUGAUUAUACAUGUGAACACCUCUGAAGGCACAGCCCGCCCAGAAGGCAGACAG